CGUGGCAGCGACUUUGCAUGCGGAUGUCAUCCAUAUCAACUUUCGAUGCCAGUUUCUGCACCUACCAUGGUGACCAUCAGGAUUCCAUUCCGUACAGGAACCCUGAGAAACAGUUACCACAUGCAAGGAAGGCAGCAGGCGCGCAAAUGACCCACUCCCGACGCGGGAAGGUAUUGAUG
Non-coding RNA from Pelobates cultripes (western spadefoot toad), 179 nucleotides. Lineage: Eukaryota; Metazoa; Chordata; Amphibia; Anura; Pelobatidae. The record is from the annotation of a GenBank genome assembly.